AAUAAAAUCCAAACUGGGUCAGCAGUUUUAAUCAAAAAAUGCAAUUUUAUGGUUUAUUUAACAGCAUCAGAUUUUUGUCACAUUAUCGUCAUGCAGUUGUGCACACUGUCCUAUUCAGUAUGACAUUCAGCACACAUGUGCUUAUCUUUUUGUCAACAGAAGACUGGUUGUGCAAGAGCUCCUUUUGUCACACUUUGAACUUAGUGGAAAUGGAUGAUCAAAGUAGACGGCUCAGAGGCCAAAGCAGAUGAGCUCAACUAAUGGAAUUAAAAGGAACAGAGUCUUGUUCUAUUUGACACUGACACUGGCUAAGAUGGCUUUUCAGAGAAACAGCUGGUGGUGGAGAGGCUGCACGGCAAUUGGAAUUUUUUCAGACUUGUGUAAAAUGUGGCUGAUUUUGUUUCACUGUGAGUCAGCAGGAUACCAUGUGCUGCUGAAGACAGCAACAGGAGUUUAGAUUUUGGAGUCCCAUCAGCAGAGGACAACUUGCUGUGGGUGUAAACUUUUGCAGUCUGAGUCUUGGCAGUAUCCUCCAUAACCAGGCACACAGCAGUCCUCAAAGCAACACACACAGUAUGGAUGAUACUUCCCACAGUUUUGCCUGAGGGUUAGACUAACCUUUGGUCAAACCAUCCAUGUACUGAAGAGACAAGUGAUCACAUGAUCUGACUCCCAGAAAGCAAGGUGAUAUUUAUCAAUAUCAGCUUUCCUCUGUUCUGUACGGACUAUGGUAUGGACUCAAAUAUUGUAUGAUUUAUACACUUCAGAUUAGUUGCAUACUGUAAGUGGUCCAGUUUUGAAACAGUACCUGGACUUUCAACAGUUUCAUGAUUUCAUGAUUGAACAAUUAAAGAUAACCAUGGAUUCCACCCCCCCAAAAAAGUUUGUUCCUCUUUCAGAAUAAAAACACACUCCCACAUACUGCAUUUAUACUCAAUAUCAAAAUACUUUUACUACCGUGACGAUGAGUAUUUCCACUUGGCUUAUCUUAAGAAUGCAAACAAAAACAUGUAACACCAUAGGAAUUUUCAUCAACAUCAUUGUUUUCUUUAAAAAACAUAUGAGAAGUCCUAAAGCAAGAUUAAAAUCAGACAGUUCAACAAUUACAGUAAAGUUUAUAGUAAUACACAAUAUUACACACUGACCUGGGCUUUUGCACAUCUCAAAGUGCCAAAUACAUGGUGGAAGAGAGCUGUAAUAUUCCUCUAAUACCCUUAAAGAAGAGAAAACACUUGUAGUUCUGAAAGAUGUGACAUAACAAGGUCAUUUGUAUAACAUUUGUUUCAGAGU
Siniperca chuatsi (mandarin fish) is the source of this 1290-nucleotide long non-coding RNA. RefSeq lists it as uncharacterized. The transcript has 3 exons. NCBI's taxonomy places the organism in Eukaryota, Metazoa, Chordata, Actinopteri, Centrarchiformes, Sinipercidae. The record is from RefSeq and is a predicted model, not a curated record.